UGAAGGGCCAGAAGCUGAUCCAUAGACCUCACGGUCACGGCCGGCUGCGACAGAGCUUGGGCGCGAACCCAGAGUCUCACAGCUAGCACUGCGAUGUGGUGCCCUAGACCACUGCACCACCCGGGAGGCCCCACCUCAUUAUGUUUAUAUAUUUGAACAACUAUUUGUGAAACGUAAUUUAUGGAAACUGACAUUAUUUGUUGCUUAUUUUCUACUUCUUAGACAUAUAAUGUCCAGAGUAUUACCUAGCCUGGUGGAACCAGCCUGAUCGCUGUGUUCACCAUUCUAUUUCACUUCACAUUUUAUAAUAUCUGAAGUGAAAUAGGAAAGGUGAAUUCAGCGAUCAGGUUGGUUCACCAGGCUAAUCACAACCACCAUUGAUCAUGUAAUAUGUGUGUGUGUGUGUGUGUGUGUGAGUGACUAGUAUCUUUGAUGAAGGGCCAGAAGCUGAUCUACACCGCUAUGGGGCUCUGGCACAGAACCUCACCUCCAGCCUCACCACUUGCCUGCACGUCGAUGGGGAGAAAACAAUUAGAAACAUGUAUGGAGCCAGCACAUGGAGACUUGCAAGAUGAUGUGAUGAAGUCCAGACUGGCAGACGGGCUUGAUACUGAUGUCUCUGAAUGAAGAUAGACCUGGCACUCUGCAUAAAAAAUGUAUUAGACACAACUUUUACUUGUAUUGUCUUUUUAUUAUUGAAUUGAAUGGUAUCAGUCAAUAUGGGGAAGGAGAAUCCCUGUGUAUUCUGCAACAGGAUCAGGGAACUCCUGUUGUAUACGGAACACCGCACAGGAAGGUAUGAAUACUCUCCUGCAACCCGCCUCACCCAAUGUGGUGUGGAUUUGUUUUUUUUCUAAAGUAUUUCUAUUUACCUCCAAACUGGAAUAACUCAAUUGAAGCUAGCUAGCUAUCCAGCUAUCAGCUAUCAGUCAGCUAACCACUGCUAGUGGUCAUCAGCUAACCUUUAGCUCAGAAAGCACUCGCCAGUUCGUACAACGCGUUUCAAAUGAGCAUACCGGACCUAUUUUUCUCUCCAUAUCUCCGGAUUCCUAUGUCACGCCCUGGCCAUAGAGAGGCUUUUUAUUCUCUAUUUUGAUUAGGCCAGGGUGUGACUGGGGUGGGCGUUCUAUGUUCUUCAUUCUAUGUUUUGUAUUUCUGGUUUUGGCCUGGUAUGGUUCCCAAUCAGAGACAGCUGUCAAUCGUCUCUGAUUGAGAACCAUAGUUAGGCAGCCUGUUUUCCCACUAUGGGUUGUGGGUAGUUAUUUUCUGUUUAGUGUGUUUUGCACCUGACGGAGCUGUUUCGGUUGUUUCUUUUGGGCCUUGUUGUAGUUAGUGUUCAGUUUAUUAAAAAUAAUGAUGAACACUUA
Long non-coding RNA from Oncorhynchus masou masou (cherry salmon), 1367 nucleotides. RefSeq lists it as uncharacterized. The record is from RefSeq and is a predicted model, not a curated record. The transcript has 2 exons. Lineage: Eukaryota; Metazoa; Chordata; Actinopteri; Salmoniformes; Salmonidae.